Molecule: transfer RNA, 71 nt
Filed under: Candidatus Giovannonibacteria bacterium RIFCSPHIGHO2_02_42_15
Lineage: Bacteria; Candidatus Giovannoniibacteriota
Description: tRNA-Met
Rfam family: tRNA
About the family: Transfer RNA (tRNA) molecules are approximately 80 nucleotides in length. Their secondary structure includes four short double-helical elements and three loops (D, anti-codon, and T loops).
Source: RNAcentral
CGCGGGGUGGAGGAGUAGUACCUCGUGAGGCUCAUAACCUCAAGGCGCCGGUGCAAUUCCGGCCCCCGCAA